CGCAAUGGACGAAAGUCUGACGGAGCAACGCCGCGUGAGUGAUGAAGGUUUUCGGAUCGUAAAACUCUGUUGUUAGGGAAGAACAAGUACCGGAGUAACUGCUGGUACCUUGACGGUACCUAACCAGAAAGCCACGGCUAACUACGUGCCAGCAG
Molecule: ribosomal RNA, 155 nt
Filed under: uncultured Bacillota bacterium
Lineage: Bacteria; Bacillati; Bacillota
Description: uncultured Firmicutes bacterium partial 16S ribosomal RNA
Rfam family: Bacterial small subunit ribosomal RNA
Source: RNAcentral